AAUUGCUGUACUAGAAAUCACAAUUAAAAUAGGUCAUUUUAUGUGUGUCUAUAACAGCAAUCAAAGUGCAGUGGUGGUUUAAGUGUUUUAAAAUGGCUAAGCCAAGUCAUUUUCUCACAUGGCUGGUUUUGAUAUGUAAAUAAUAAAAAACACGGUAUGUGCAUUUAUGCUUUUAGAAAUAUAUGAUUUGUUACUAGGAGUAACUUUUAAGAAUUAUUACAUGUUGGCUUAUUUUAUUCACACAGAAAAUGAUGAUGAAACUACCCUCAGAAUCCAAAAACUAGAAUGGGUCAGCCUUCACGUGUGUCAGUUAAUGCAUCUGCCAUGCUCUGGCCAGAGAUGAGCUACCGAGUAAGACUAACUAAAUACUGCUGGUGGAGCAAAAUCAUUUUGAGAAAAUGCUGCAAACCUGAUAUUUUGAUCGAAUGCCUGAAAGUGGAUUUGCAAUUUUGUGUUAUUUGACUACUUUUUGAAAAUAGCAUUUCUAAUUCUGUAGAGCAAAGUUAUUAACAACAACAAUAACAAAUGUAAUUAAUGGAUAUAUAGACAAAUAUUCAGUAACAUUAAAAAUUAGUUUUCAAGAUAAUGUGAUUAUUCCUGUAUUUCUUCAAAUCACUGUGACCAAUUGACUGGUAUUUCAUAGCAAGAAUGUGUAGGUCUUUUGGGCAAAACCUGACAUUUACUGUCUUGGCUGAGACAGAUCCAGCACAAAUGGCAUGUUAAUAAUGGCAAAUAGCAAAAUGUUAGAUGAAAGGCUCUAUAUGACAGGCAAUAUGAAGAUAUAAGGUGGGUCCAUUUUAUUCAGAUUUUUCUUUUGCUUCAUCUAGCUAUAUAGUUCACUAAGCUGAGGCUGAAACAAUGAUGAAUAUUAUUAAGUUAGAUGGCUUAUACUCCGCACCCUGAUGUCUUCCUAUCAUUUGGGCACUCAGAUGGCUUUGUAUUCUAAUCUAUUACUAUCACAGACUUUCUCUGACAACCUAAUGAGUUACUGUCAUUAGUUUUAUCUUUAAUUUGACCACAUCUGGGUGUUCAGUAGGGAUGUGAAAUUAAUAAUGUGCAAGUUCUUGAACACUCUUUGACAUAGCGCUUUCACAUAACUUAUCACCUUCUCACAAUGUAUUUUUAAGUACAUUUUUCAGUGAAAAUAUUGGUAUCUGGCAGUGUUCAAAUAUGUUGGUACCAGCUUUUG
Molecule: long non-coding RNA, 1189 nt
Filed under: Anser brachyrhynchus (Pink-footed goose)
Lineage: Eukaryota; Metazoa; Chordata; Aves; Anseriformes; Anatidae
Description: lncRNA (ENSABRG00000002396.1)
Source: RNAcentral